This 253-nucleotide ribosomal RNA is filed under the name uncultured bacterium. Its description in RNAcentral is "partial 16S ribosomal RNA". It matches the Rfam family "Bacterial small subunit ribosomal RNA", at positions 524 to 776 of the family's 1533-position model. The record is from RNAcentral.
UACGGAGGGUGCGGGCGUUGUCCGGAAUCACUGGGCGUAAAGGGCGCGUAGGUGGCCGAGCAAGGUCGCGGUGAAAGCCCGGGGCUCAACCCCGGAACUGCCUUUGAAACUAGGUUGCUAGAAUCUUGGAGAGGUCAGUGGAAUUCCGAGUGUAGAGGUGAAAUUCGUAGAUAUUCGGAAGAACACCAGUGGCGAAGGCGACUGACUGGACAAGUAUUGACGCUGAGGUGCGAAAGCGUGGGGAGCAAACAGG